Non-coding RNA from Stegodyphus mimosarum, 73 nucleotides. Lineage: Eukaryota; Metazoa; Arthropoda; Arachnida; Araneae; Eresidae. The record is from Rfam.
GCCUUCGUAGUGUAGUGGUCAGCACGCUUGACGCGUAACCGAGAGGGCCGUGGUUCGAUUCCGGGCGAAAUCU